RNAcentral lists this ribosomal RNA (426 nucleotides) under uncultured bacterium. RNAcentral's name for it is "partial 16S ribosomal RNA". It matches the Rfam family "Bacterial small subunit ribosomal RNA", at positions 354 to 796 of the family's 1533-position model. The record is from RNAcentral.
GUGAGGAAUUUUCCGCAAUGGGCGAAAGCCUGACGGAGCAAUGCCGCGUGAAGGAUGAAGGCCUAUGGGUUGUAAACUUCUUUUCUCAGAAAAGAAUUAUGACGGUAUCUGAGGAAUAAGCAUCGGCUAACUCUGUGCCAGCAGCCGCGGUAAGACAGAGGAUGCAAGCGUUAUCCGGAAUGAUUGGGCGUAAAGCGUCUGUAGGUUGUUUAAAAAGUAUUCUGUCAAAGAUUAGGGCUUAACCCUAGAUAGGCAGAAUAAACUUUUAAGAUAGAGUUUGGUAGAGGCAGAGGGAAUUCCCGGUGGAGCGGUGAAAUGCGUAGAUAUCGGGAGGAACACCAAAGGCGAAGGCACUCUGCUGGGCCAAUACUAACACUGAGAGACGAAAGCGAGGGGAGCAAAUGGGAUUAGAUACCCGGGUAGUCC